Molecule: ribosomal RNA, 500 nt
Filed under: uncultured bacterium
Lineage: Bacteria
Description: partial 16S ribosomal RNA
Rfam family: Bacterial small subunit ribosomal RNA
Source: RNAcentral
AUUGAACGCUGGCGGCAUGCCUUACACAUGCAAGUCGAACGGCAGCACGGGAGCAAUCCUGGUGGCGAGUGGCGAACGGGUGAGUAAAGUAUCGGAACGUGCCCAGUCGUGGGGGAUAACGUAGCGAAAGUUACGCUAAUACCGCAUACGAUCUAUGGAUGAAAGCGGGGGAUCGCAAGACCUCGCGCGAUUGGAGCGGCCGAUAUCAGAUUAGGUAGUUGGUGGGGUAAAGGCUCACCAAGCCGACGAUCUGUAGCUGGUCUGAGAGGACGACCGGCCACAGUGGGACUGGGACACGGCCCAGACUCCUACGGGAGGAAGCAGUGGGGAAUUUUGGACAAUGGGCGAAAGCCUGAUCCAGCCAUGCCGCGUGCAGGAUGAAGGCCUUCGGGUUGUAAACUGCUUUUGUACGGAACGAAAAGGUUUGGGCUAAUAAGCUGAGCUCAUGACGGUACCGUAAGAAUAAGCACCGGCUAACUACGUGCCAGCCGCCGCCGUAA